Long non-coding RNA from Chroicocephalus ridibundus (black-headed gull), 380 nucleotides. RefSeq lists it as uncharacterized. The transcript is spliced from 5 exons. NCBI's taxonomy places the organism in Eukaryota, Metazoa, Chordata, Aves, Charadriiformes, Laridae. The record is from RefSeq and is a predicted model, not a curated record.
GGCGUGACUGUGCACCCUUCAUGCCAUGAGCGGAGGAAAAGGAGGAUGGUCACAUAGCUCUCUUCAGCUGGGAGACAAUUCGUUUUUCACUGCUUGGCUUGAAAUGCUGUACAGUGGUGCCGUGUUCCCUGCAUGGUAUCAGGGCCCUUCUGAUGGCUGAUAAUCCCUCUGCUUCAAGUGACUUCCACUGUCUCGGGACAUCUUCUUAAUCACACCAAUUGUGCUAGCCAAAAUCCAUCAGUGUGCUUCACGGAUUCAGGGCUGGAGAGGUACCUGUACAAGAUAAUGACGACGGCUGACAGAAUAUUGCAGCACAGCCGAAUUCUCAUGGACUUCGCAAACGGGUCUCUUGUCCAAUAUGCUUCAACCUCUAUGAUCGC